This 207-nucleotide ribosomal RNA is filed under the name uncultured bacterium. RNAcentral describes it as "partial 16S ribosomal RNA". It matches the Rfam family "Bacterial small subunit ribosomal RNA", at positions 1294 to 1500 of the family's 1533-position model. The record is from RNAcentral.
CGGAUCGCAGGCUGCAACCCGCCUGCGUGAAGUUGGAAUCGCUAGUAAUCGCGGAUCAGCAUGCCGCGGUGAAUACGUUCCCGGGCCCUUGUACACACCGCCCGUCACACCAUGAGAGUCGGGAACACCCGAAGUCCGUAGCCUAACCGCAAGGGGGCGCGGCCGAAGGUGGGUUCGAUAAUUGGGGUGAAGUCGUAACAAGGUACC